AACGCUAGCUACAGGCUUAACACAUGCAAGUCGAGGGGCAGCAUGACCUAGCAAUAGGUUGAUGGCGACCGGCGCACGGGUGAGUAACACGUAUCCAACCUACCGGUUAUUCCGGGAUAGCCUUUCGAAAGAAAGAUUAAUACCGGAUAGUAUAACGAGAAGGCAUCUUUUUGUUAUUAAAGAAUUUCGAUAACCGAUGGGGAUGCGUUCCAUUAGUUUGUUGGCGGGGUAACGGCCCACCAAGACAUCGAUGGAUAGGGGUUCUGAGAGGAAGGUCCCCCACAUUGGAACUGAGACACGGUCCAAACUCCUACGGGAGGCAGCAGUGAGGAAUAUUGGUCAAUGGACGAGAGUCUGAACCAGCCAAGUAGCGUGAAGGAUGACUGCCCUAUGGGUUGUAAACUUCUUUUAUAUGGGAAUAAAGUGAGCCACGUGUGGCUUUUUGUAUGUACCAUACGAAUAAGGAUCGGCUAACUCCGUGCCAGCAGCCGCGGUAAUACGGAGGAUCCGAGCGUUAUCCGGAUUUAUUGGGUUUAAAGGGAGCGUAGGCGGACUAUUAAGUCAGCUGUGAAAGUUUGCGGCUCAACCGUAAAAUUGCAGUUGAUACUGGUCGUCUUGAGUGCAGUAGAGGUAGGCGGAAUUCGUGGUGUAGCGGUGAAAUGCUUAGAUAUCACGAAGAACUCCGAUUG
Molecule: ribosomal RNA, 689 nt
Filed under: uncultured bacterium
Lineage: Bacteria
Description: bacterial SSU rRNA
Rfam family: Bacterial small subunit ribosomal RNA
Source: RNAcentral